CAGGCUGAGUUUUAGAAACAUUAUUAAUUACAAUAAUAAUUUAGGGUUGUGCAAUUCACUCUGGCUUGA
This 69-nucleotide transfer RNA is filed under the name Hygia sp. RNAcentral describes it as "tRNA-Val". The record is from RNAcentral. Lineage: Eukaryota; Metazoa; Arthropoda; Insecta; Hemiptera; Coreidae.